This 495-nucleotide ribosomal RNA is filed under the name uncultured bacterium. RNAcentral describes it as "partial 16S ribosomal RNA". It matches the Rfam family "Bacterial small subunit ribosomal RNA", at positions 28 to 507 of the family's 1533-position model. The record is from RNAcentral.
GACGAACGCUGGCGGCGUGCCUAAUACAUGCAAGUUGAACGCUGAAGGAGGAGCUUGCUCUUCUGGAUGAGUUGCGAACGGGUGAGUAACGCGUAGGUAACCUGCCUGGUAGCGGGGGAUAACUAUUGGAAACGAUAGCUAAUACCGCAUAACAGUAGAUGUUGCAUGACAUUUACUUAAAAGGUGCAAUUGCAUCACUACCAGAUGGACCUGCGUUGUAUUAGCUAGUUGGUGGGGUAACGGCUCACCAAGGCGACGAUACAUAGCCGACCUGAGAGGGUGAUCGGCCACACUGGGACUGAGACACGGCCCAGACUCCUACGGGAGGCAGCAGUAGGGAAUCUUCGGCAAUGGACGGAAGUCUGACCGAGCAACGCCGCGUGAGUGAAGAAGGUUUUCGGAUCGUAAAGCUCUGUUGUAAGAGAAGAACGAGUGUGAGAGUGGAAAGUUCACACUGUGACGGUAUCUUACCAGAAAGGGACGGCUAACUACGUG